RNAcentral lists this unclassified non-coding RNA (345 nucleotides) under soil metagenome. RNAcentral describes it as "partial contains 5.8S ribosomal RNA, internal transcribed spacer 2, and large subunit ribosomal RNA". The stretch from base 1 to 120 matches the Rfam family "5.8S ribosomal RNA", at positions 35 to 154 of the family's 154-position model. The record is from RNAcentral.
GAUGAAGAACGCAGCGAAAUGCGAUACGUAAUGUGAAUUGCAGAAUUCAGUGAAUCAUCGAGUCUUUGAACGCACAUUGCGCCCCCUGGUAUUCCGGGGGGCAUGCCUGUCCGAGCGUCAUUGCUGCCCUCAAGCACGGCUUGUGUGUUGGGCCUCCGUCCUCCUCCCGGGGGACGGGCCCGAAAGGCAGCGGCGGCACCGCGUCCGGUCCUCGAGCGUAUGGGGCUUCGUCACCCGCUCUUGUAGGCCCGGCCGGCGCUUGCCGACACAUCAAUCUUUUUUCAAGGUUGACCUCGGAUCAGGUAGGGAUACCCGCUGAACUUAAGCAUAUCAAUAAGCGGAGGA